AAAACCUUUUAUUUGGAGACCAAAAUGAGCAGAGACUGAACCAUACAAGGGUCUUGGAACAACAUAGUGCAUUUCAUUAACCCCACAGCAAGUGUCACAACCCAUGGAAUAAUGGUCAUAAAAUACCAUGUUCUUCAUUUCCCUGAAUAUAGCACCAAAACAAAGAAAAUUGUUUAACCCUUUACUUUCAGGGUGAUUGUCUCAAACCCAGGUUUACAUUUAAGAUUGCACUGAGAACAAAUGGGUUUCUGUAAUUCUCUGUUAGUUCGAGGAUAAGACAUCAUGGUCCCCGUGACACCUGUUUUGCUCUGCUUGUGUUUUGCGAAAGUAAAAUGAAGGAGACAUUGAAACAAUAUCCGGGUUUAUUGGAGCAAAAUUAAACCCACAUUUGCACUAUUUUCUUUAAUGUCAAUCUGAUAUUUUCAUGUAUCGUAUAUAAGGUGGCAUUACAGAUUUCGGUUUGGGGCCAGAAGUGUCAAGUUAUGCCGGGUAAUUUUUUUUGAGUAAUGGCAGAAUUUUUGAACAGACCGCCAUAACAUUAGGAAGAAAAUUACAUUUCAGAGAGUUGCGGGGAUUAUAGGGAUGUACCACAUGAAAUUAAACCAAUACAUGACAUACGGUAAUCUUCUUUGGUAUUAUACCGAA
Long non-coding RNA from Bufo bufo (common toad), 645 nucleotides. RefSeq lists it as uncharacterized. NCBI's taxonomy places the organism in Eukaryota, Metazoa, Chordata, Amphibia, Anura, Bufonidae. The transcript is spliced from 2 exons. The record is from RefSeq and is a predicted model, not a curated record.